AAUUGGAUAUUUAAUAUUCAGACAACAAGUCGCCCUUACAAGGCGGAGGUCGCGGGUUCGAGUCCCGCCCCGCCUACCA
This 79-nucleotide transfer RNA is filed under the name Aquifex sp. Its description in RNAcentral is "tRNA-Val". It matches the Rfam family "tRNA". Rfam says of the family: Transfer RNA (tRNA) molecules are approximately 80 nucleotides in length. Their secondary structure includes four short double-helical elements and three loops (D, anti-codon, and T loops). Lineage: Bacteria; Pseudomonadati; Aquificota; Aquificia; Aquificales; Aquificaceae. The record is from RNAcentral.